UACGUAGGUGGCAAGCGUUGUUCGGAAUUAUUGGGCGUAAAGCGUCUGUAGGUGGCUUUUUAAGUCUGCCGUCAAAUCCCAGGGCUCAACCCUGGACAGGCGGUGGAAACUACCAAGCUAGAGUACGGGAGGGGAAGAGGGAAUUUCCGGUGGAGCGGUGAAAUGCGUAGAGAUCGGAAAGAACACCAACGGCGAAAGCACU
Molecule: ribosomal RNA, 202 nt
Filed under: uncultured prokaryote
Description: partial 16S ribosomal RNA
Rfam family: Bacterial small subunit ribosomal RNA
Source: RNAcentral